UUUUUAAACUUCAUCGGCCAUGGUCCAUUCACGUAGAUUUUCAGCUGAAAAGCCAUGUCAUCCUUACUUGGGCCAGAGUUCACUCUGAUUUCUUUCCUUUAUCUGCGUGUUUUUAGAUCCAGCCCAGCUUAACUCCUUCCCUAUGCGCCCCAAAAUAGGCAUAAGAUACAACAUCCGGUGGCCCGACCGCCCUUCACGAAUUGUCUCGCGUCCAAAGCUAGUGUUUUGAUUAACAAUUCAUGGCCAUUGAUCUGUCCGUCGACGUGUCCAUACGUACGGAGCAACCACAAGUGACAAGGUUGAGGUCCUUGAUACCACACACAAGGUACAUAUGUAAGGAUCCAUUUUUACCCAGUGGCAAAGAAUUUUUUCGGAAGACGCAUCAUAUAUAGAGCCAUAAUUAUUGAUAGCCUUACUCGAAACGACAAGAUCCUCCACCAAGAGGCCCGGGUACAUUAGUAUUAGGAUUGGUCCUGCUUUGAAGUUUUGGCCAUCCCAUCUCCAUGCAUUUGUGCCUGGACCAGCGACUGUUACAGCUUGAAAGCUAGACUCUUCAUCGGCAUGUAUAGAUAGACGUUUUGAUAAUGGUAGACUUAAUUUUUAAGGAACCAAUGGAUUUUCGAUUUUCAAGUCGGUCAUAUUUGGGAUCUAUAUGUUCUUUUGAAAUCAACAACCGUACCUUUGCCUUU
Coffea arabica (coffee) is the source of this 689-nucleotide non-coding RNA. NCBI's taxonomy places the organism in Eukaryota, Viridiplantae, Streptophyta, Magnoliopsida, Gentianales, Rubiaceae. The record is from RefSeq and is a predicted model, not a curated record.